GCUACGGGUGGCAGCAGUGGGGGAUAUUGCACAAUGGGGGGAACCCUGAUGCAGCGACGCAGCGUGGGUGAAGAAGGGCCUCGGCGCGGAAAGCCCUGUCAGCAGGGAAGAAAAUGACGGUACCUGAAGAAGAAGCCACGGCUAACAACGAGCCAGCAGCCGCGGUAAUACGCCGGGGGCAAGGGUUAUCCGGAUUUACUGGGUGUCACGGGGGCGGAGACGGCGUGGCACGCCAGGAGAGAAAGCCCGGGGCCCACCCCCGUGACUGCUCUUGGAAGUGCGUGGCUUGAGUGCAGGAGGGGCAGGCGGCAUUCCUGGUGUAGCGGUGACAUGCUUAGAUAUCAGGAGGAACCCCGGUGGCGAAGGCGGCCUGCUGGACUGCAACUGACGUUGAGGCCCGACAGCGUGGGGAGCAAACAGGAUUAGAUACCCCUGUAGUC
Molecule: ribosomal RNA, 440 nt
Filed under: uncultured bacterium
Lineage: Bacteria
Description: partial 16S ribosomal RNA
Rfam family: Bacterial small subunit ribosomal RNA
Source: RNAcentral